UUUUGUAAAGAAGAGGGAACUUUAAUUCUCUUCCUUUCAAUUGUAUUGUCUCGGGUCCAGUCCUCCAUUUUAUCCAAGUCUCCAAUUUUAAAUACCUUUUUGCAUAUUAUCCAACAAAUUUGGUAUCGGAGACUUGUUCUUGCCCCCGUUAUAAAAUACUUAUGGCAGCCAAUAACCAAUCAAUCUUUAGUUAUGCCCAAAAUCUAAUUCCCAUCUUUACUAGUGAGAGUUAUGAUUUUUGGUGCAUCCAAAUGAAAACUCUUUUUAUCUCACAAGAUUUGUGGAAUAUCAUUGAAGAAGGCUAUGAUGUGCCUGCAAGUCUGGAGCAACUAUAGUCUUGCACGGAAGCAGCAAAGAAGGAGUAGAAGGAGAACAUCCAAAGGAAUGCAUGAGCACUACUUUUCAUUCAACAAGGGGUAAGCAAAAGUUUGUUCCCUAGAAUAUCAAAUGCAACAAAAUCUAAAGCUGCAUGGGAAAUUCUGAAACAACAAUUUGGAGGUCAUGAAAAGUUGCAGCUAUAGAAGAGUUCAAAGAUUUGGAAACAUAUUCUUUGGAUCAACUAUUUGGCUCUCUCGAAGCACAUGAAAAAAGAAUGAGCAGGUUUUCUAACCAACCUGUGGAGCAAGCAUUCAAAUCAAAUUGCAAGAUCACAAAAAGGAAUACGGCAACCUCAAAAAGCAACUCAACAAGAGGAGGUUCCUUCAGAAAAGGACAUGGUAUUCAAGGCCGAGGCAGAGGAGGAAGAAACAAUUAUGAGCAAAGAAAUUUCCCGGGUAAUUAUAAACCUUAUUGCAUUAUUUGCAAAAAACUUGGGCAUGAGUCAAAAAAUUGUUAUUUUAAAUGCACAAAGUGCAAAAUUUCUAAUCAUUCACAAAGAGAUUGUUGGUAUAAAGACCUGCAAGAAAUGAAUGAAGUUAACUAUUUUGAAAAGGUUGAAGAUAGUCAAGUAUUUUAGUCAUGUAUGUCUGUUCAACAAUAAUCAAAGCAUACAAGGUGUUUGGGUAGUGGAUGCAAUAAUCAUAUGACAGGUGAUCCACAACUCUUUGUUAAGAUGGAUAAAAAAAAUUUAUUCGAAGUAAAGCUUGGAGAUGGAAAGACACAUGAAGUCAAAGGAAAAGGAGUAAUAGCAGUAAACUCCAAAAGAGGUAACUCUAAGUGUUGGCCAAUUACUCUGAAAGAAUUAUUCUGUAAUUUUUGAUGGAGAAGAAAGCAAAAUUUUCGAUAAAAAUAAAAACAUCAUGGUGGCAAAAAUAAAAAUGACUCAAAAUAAUGUAUUUCCUCUUAUUAUGCCACAUGAUGUAAAAUUAGCUUUUCAAAGUGAAAAAUUGGAUGCGUCAUACUUAUGGCAUCUAAGAUAUGGGCAUUUAAAUUAUAAUGGCCUAAAAUUAUUAAAAGAAAAAAAUAUGGUUUUAGGCCUACCUCAUAUUCCCCACAUAGAUAAAGUUUGUGAGGGAUGCAUAUAUGGAAAAAUGCACAGAAUGCCAUUUCCCAAAAAUACCUGAAGAGCAAAGGCACCAUUAGAGUUGGUACAUUUUGAUAUUUUUGGACUAACUCGAACUCCAUCUCUGAAUGGAAGAAGGUACUUCCUUCUGUUUGUUGAUGAUUAUACCCGAAUGAUGUGGGUAUAUUUUCUGAAAGAAAAGUCAGAAGUUUUUUCGGUAUUCCAAGAAGUUAAGGCGCUUGUAGAAAAGCAAGUCGAAAAGCCACCGAAGACAUUUUGAACAGAUCGUCGUGGAGAAUUCAUUUCUAAACCUUUUAUGGAGUAUUGCAAGAAAAAUGGAGUUCAAAGACAGCUCACUGUUCGGCACACCCAGCAGCAAAAUGGUGUAGUAGAAGGAAAAAAAUAGAACAAUUGCAGAAAUGGCUAGAAGCAUGCUAAAGGAGAAAGGCCUUCCGAAUAAAUAUUGGGCAAAAGCCUUCAACACUGCCGUUUACAUUUUGAAUAGAUUUGUAACAAAAGCUGUCCUGAACAAGACUCCAUAUGAAGCAUGGAACAAACAAAAGGCCUUGGUAUUAUGAGAUUAAUUAUCAUUACAUUUGAACCA
Ziziphus jujuba (common jujube) is the source of this 2045-nucleotide long non-coding RNA. RefSeq lists it as uncharacterized. The transcript is spliced from 2 exons. NCBI's taxonomy places the organism in Eukaryota, Viridiplantae, Streptophyta, Magnoliopsida, Rosales, Rhamnaceae. The record is from RefSeq and is a predicted model, not a curated record.